AUGGCAAUGAAGCAAGAGAUUGCUCAACUGAAGUGCGAUGCUUCCAAGAAGCGAGUUAGAGAUGCUACUCCUUCUUCCUCAACUCAAGUGGCUAAGCAGCAGAAGUAUUGGCUUCCUCCUCCUCCGUUCCGUCAGCCUUAUCAUCAGAAGAGCAAAGGUGGAAGUGGAUCUUCCCUCCCACCCAACCCUGGCUUUCAGAACAAGACUUCGUCUCAAGCUCCAAGAUCGAGUGCUCCGUAUCACCGUCCGCUUUCAGAGGUCACGUGUAACAAGUGCCAACAGAAGGGUCACUAUGCCAACAAAUGCUUCAAUCAGAGGCGUCUCCCUCCUCCUCCUCCUGUGAGAUCGGCAAGCACAGUUGUGGUCAAGCAUAACCCCAAGUACGCCAAGGUCAAUUUGAUGAAUGCAACUCAGGCAGAGGACUCGUCAGAUGUCAUCAUGGAGCCGGGAGACGAGUUCGCAAACGAGGAGCCCGUUGAGUUUGCUUACGAGGACCAAGUCAACUCUGACAACUUUGCAGGCAAGAUCAUCAUACCCUCG
Molecule: ribosomal RNA, 540 nt
Filed under: Triticum aestivum (bread wheat)
Lineage: Eukaryota; Viridiplantae; Streptophyta; Magnoliopsida; Poales; Poaceae
Description: partial small subunit ribosomal RNA
Source: RNAcentral